Long non-coding RNA from Salvia splendens (bonfire salvia), 4055 nucleotides. RefSeq lists it as uncharacterized. Lineage: Eukaryota; Viridiplantae; Streptophyta; Magnoliopsida; Lamiales; Lamiaceae. The record is from RefSeq and is a predicted model, not a curated record. The transcript has 2 exons.
UGUUAGGGUUGUGGAUAAAGGGAGCUUCCUUCCGUCCAGUUCGAGACAGUUUGAGAGCUGAAAACACAUCUGCUGACUCGUUGGUUCGUGAACUCAUCGAAUAUUUAGGGUUGUGAUCGAUGGGGUUUUUGAUUCAACGAUGCAGGAGUUGUGUUCAGUUUUUCCUGUCGCGUCUUGGACUGAAGGGAGCUCCCUAUUUUCUAAUUUCACUUGUCUCUUGGUUUUGAUCACUAUUAUUCAUCUAAUUUAGGUUUGAUGUUAGCUAGGGUUUCCGUGGAUUUCUUCAUGAAAAUUGUGCUUGAGAUGAUUGUUUUCAAUUCGGAUUCCAAUUCUUAUAUGUGGCUACAGAGAAUGUUAUAUUGUGUUCAGAUGAAGAAAUCUGAUUAUUUUUUUAUAUAAUUGAACCUGGUACUAACUAGUUUCUAUUACUAAUUUUAAUUUAUUUUGUAUGCAGAAGCAGGUUUAAAGCGUUUUGCACUACUUAUUCAUGGUGGAUUCAUCUAGAGCCUAAUGAAGGGGACAUGGCCAGGAAAUAGGAUUCGUUUAAUUAUCAUUGUAUUAUGCUAACUUAGUUAUUUUUAGAGAGUGUUUUUAUUGUUCUUUCCCUACAACUUGUUAACAUGAUGUUGUGUUUUCCAAAAAACAAAAAAGUUGACUAUAUAGCAUGUUUCAUCGUCAGAAAUUUUGUCAAUAUUUCUUAGUGUAUUUUUUGUAAAUUCCUAAACACUCGUUAAAUUUUGACUUUGCAUAUCAAAAUCUUUUUGUAAAUGACCAAACUUAAAUUGUUCUUAUUUUGCAACCAAUCUAAAUUCCGGCGAUUACAUGACUUAUAACUUACUUACAUGGCACAAUUAUAUCUGCAUAACAUUUCGAGAAAUUACGUGAAAUUCAACUAAAAAUACAUGAUAUAUUUAUGUCAUAAGGUUGUCAAGAGUACGAGGACAUAUAUUUGAUAAUGUAAGCGGCAUCAAAGCUUGGACGAAAUCUAAGAGCACAUUGAGCAAGUUGUGUUAAAUUGGGGAGCCUCUAGUAAUUCCUCCUUUCUUUCCUUAUGAGUGUUUAUUGUUCUCUUUCCUUUGUUUAUUAUUUUAGGCUUUCUUGUGCUUGUCCGUUGCAUGGUGGUUUUGUGCGUUGCAACUGCUUUUCAGAGACUUUGAAGUGGAUAUUACAUCGCCUACCAGGUAGAAUUGGUCUAAUGUUAGCCUCUUUUUGGCUGAUUAUAAUAGGUUGUUAACAUUUUUUAGCUCUAGUUGCAGGUUGUUGUUUCUUCGUACAGUGGUAGGUUGUGAUAUUUUUUAGCUCUAGUUACUUUUUUGGACCUAACGUUUUUCAGUUUCUGCUCUUGCAUGGUUUGUCGUGUAUUGUUAUACGCCCUCCGUUCCUUAAAAUUUGGCAUCAUUUGACCCGGCACGAGUUUUAAGAAAUGUAAUAGAAAGUGAGUUCAAAAAGUUAGUGGCAUGUGGGUCCUACUUUUAUAUAUUAGUUUUAAAAUAAAAUGUGAGUGGGAAUGAGUUAGUGGAAUGCGGGGUCUACUACCAAAAAUGGUAAAAGUGAAAGGUGACAAAUUUUUAAGGACGGAUGAAAAAGGAAAUAAGUGACAAAUUUUCAAGGAUGGAGGGAGUAAUAGAAAACGGAUUUUAAUUAGGUCGAUCUAUCAAAUUCCGGAUAGGACACAUUUACAAUUGAGGGCUAAUUGAGUACAAGUUAAUAAGUGCAGGUUAAUCAAACUAAAAUUUUACAUGAUUAAAAAUUUGUGACCCUAAUCUUCUAUAUUUAGUAGGCUAUUUGGUUCAACUCACGUAUUUUGGGAUGCAUUAACAUCACUCUACAAUUAUCGUAACCAAUAUUUUGAUAAACACAAAUUAACUGUUGAUAAAUUCUAGACGAAAAAACUAAUAAAUUGUAAUUGGAUGUACUAUUUAUACGUCCGUGUAUAAGAGAAAACUUUGUCAAUACUUUUUAACUGCUUUUAUUUGGACACACUACCACAUUGAUUUACAAGUGAAGUCUAUAUUUAGAAAGAGUGUUAGUGUUAAUUUAUAACCCAACUAUUGAGGUGUUCUUCUACUUGAUAUCCAAUUCAAACUGAGACAACAUGAAGAGUCAAAAUAACAGUCUAACUAUAAAAUGUGUUAAAAUUGCGGAAAGUAUAUAUUAGUAUUAAGGCUAUGUUUGGUAGUAUUGAAAGUCACAACUCACAAACAUGCUAGUUUUUCAAGCAUUGUGAGAUUGGAGCUUUUCCACAAUUUAGGCGUUUGGUUGCAAUAUUGGGACAAACCCUCUGGUAGAAAACUGUAGUUGUUGGUGGUGAUUUUAGACAAAUCUUGCCAACUAGUUCCUAAGGGUAGUAGGCAAGAUGUUGUGAAUGCCGCUAUUAACUCUACAUAUUGCGCAAUCUAAAGUUGACCAAAAACAUGAGACUUUUGAGUGUUGCAUCUUCUGAUGAAACUUCAUGAUUGGAGGAAUUUUCUUCUUGGGUUGCUUCUAUUGGAGAUGGGGUUGUUGGUGGUACAAAUGAUGGUGAAGUGACUAUUGAUCUUCCUUCUGACAUUGUUUUGUCUAAUUGUGGGAAUCUUUUUAAACAAUUAUUUCAAAGAUAUAUCCGUCCUAUAUGAAUCAUGAAGAGUUGAGUAAUUGUUUGCAUGAUCGUGCUAUACUUGCUCCUACUUUAGAGGUUGUUGAUAAGGUUAACCAAUUCAUCAUGUCAUUAGAUCAGUCUCAGGGUCGAGUUUAUUUGAGCUCUGAUAGAAUUUUAAACUCAGAUUUGACAUCAAAUAGUUUAGCUAAGAUACAAUCAGUUAGAUUUUUGAAUAAGUUGAAGUGUUCAGGUACACCCUAAUCAUGAAUUGUUGUUGAAAGUUGGCACUCCUGUGAUGUUGACACCAAAUUGAUAAUUACACGGUUAGUUGAUUACGUUUUGGAGGGACAAGUAUUGGGUGACCAUAAUAUUGGUUAUAAAGUUUUGAUUAUAACAUCCUACUAAUAUAAACCGUUUGAUAUACAGAUGUAGGGUUCUUAUUUCAUCAACUGGGAUUGCAUUUUUUAGUAUUUUAGUUGCAUUUAAGGGUAAAUUAAUCAGUUCGUGUAUUUAACCCACUCUCUGAAUCAGAGGCGCGAGAUUUCAGAGGUCACUCAAUUACACGAUUCGUCUGCUCAUUCAACUCAUUUCAAACCUUUCCACUCUCUUUCCAAUUCAUUCAACUUCUCAAUCCCGCUGUGUUCACUUCCAAAAACCUCCAAAACACAUUGUCAAAUCAAAACCCUAGCCCAAGUCCAGGUUUUUUCAACAGAGCGUGAACCACUUGCAUCAACCGAUCACCAAUUUGAUAAAUGGAUAAAAGACGAGCAAUUUUGAACACCACAAAGCCUGACAUCGAAUUAUCCACGCGAAUUGUGAACAAGCGACGGAAAGAAAAGAAUGCAGCUGAUGAGGCAACUGAUCGAGACACUGAACAGGUUUAGCAAAUUCUAAGGAUCCGGUGUCAACGGUAAAGUUCCUGAAAACAAGGUAACCAAAUAUGUUUGAAAGACCAUAACUCAUUCACCUUGAAACAUUGUCUUCAACCCAGAAGAAAUACUUCCUACAUAUGUUGGACUCAUGUGGGAUAAUGAAACAAGUUGCUGCUUUGAGAAACGUUGAACCAACAGUGCUGCCAAUAGAGUGGACGACUGCCACAAACAAGGUCGACAGUGGAGUGUACCUAAUGAGGCACAUGGAGACAUUCAUGGGCCAAAAAGUAAAUGAAUGGAAGUGUGGACUUACUCCUAGAAGCGCGUUGUCAUUGCAGUACUUGAGAGCCAAAAUGAGCAAAGAGCUACUCUUUGGGAAUUCAAACGCAGUGAUGUAUAAAAUCCGGCAUCUUAGCCAAUAGUGCAAUGAGGAAGGGAAGAAGAAAGGGCAAAUUGAUGUUGAGAAAAUGAUAGCAACAUACACUAAAUAGUGACGCAUGAGAGUUUUAUGAUUUUCAUGAGCUUGCUGUGUUAUAUGCUGGAUACCAUGGAUACCAUGUUGUGAAGCAACUUUUUAGUGUACAAUGCAAUUGAUACUUGUUAAA